UACGUAGGUGGCAAGCGUUGUCCGGAUUUAUUGGGUUUAAAGGGUGCGUAGGCGGUCUAUUAAGUCAGCGGUGAAAUACUCCAGCUUAACUGGAGGGGUGCCAUUGAUACUGAUGGACUUGAGUCAAGUCGAGGUAGGCGGAAUUGACGGUGUAGCGGUGAAAUGCAUAGAUACAAUCAAGAACACCGAUUGCGUAGGCAGCUAACUAGGCUGUAACUGACGCUGAGGCACGAAAGCGUGGGGAGCGAACAGG
RNAcentral lists this ribosomal RNA (253 nucleotides) under uncultured bacterium. RNAcentral's name for it is "partial 16S ribosomal RNA". It matches the Rfam family "Bacterial small subunit ribosomal RNA", at positions 524 to 776 of the family's 1533-position model. The record is from RNAcentral.